AUUGAACGCUGGCGGAAUGCUUUACACAUGCAAGUCGAACGGCAGCACGGGGGCAACCCUGGUGGCGAGUGGCGAACGGGUGAGUAAUGCAUCGGAACGUACCCAAUCGUGGGGGAUAACUGGCCGAAAGGUCAGCUAAUACCGCAUACGUCCUGAGGGAGAAAGCAGGGGAUCGCAAGACCUUGCGCGAUUGGAGCGGCCGAUGUCUGAUUAGCUAGUUGGUGGGUAAGAGCCUACCAAGGCGACGAUCAGUAGCUGGUCUGAGAGGAUGAUCAGCCACACUGGGACUGAGACACGGCCCAGACUCCUACGGGAGGCAGCAGUGGGGAAUUUUGGACAAUGGGCGCAAGCCUGAUCCAGCCAUUCCGCGUGAGUGAAGAA
RNAcentral lists this ribosomal RNA (381 nucleotides) under uncultured bacterium. Its description in RNAcentral is "bacterial SSU rRNA". It matches the Rfam family "Bacterial small subunit ribosomal RNA", at positions 30 to 412 of the family's 1533-position model. The record is from RNAcentral.